ACGGGAGGCAGCCGUGGGGAAUAUUGCACAAUGGGCGCAAGCCUGAUGCAGCAACGCCGCGUGAGGGAAGACGGUUUUCGGAUUGUAAACCUCUGCUAUUAGUGACGAAGAAGUGACGGUAGCUAAGGAGCAAGCCACGGCUAACUACGUGCCAGCAGCCGCGGGAUUACGUAGGUGGCAAGCGUUAUCCGGAAUUACUGGGUGUAAAGGGAGCCCAGGCGGAAUAGCAAGUCAGCGGUGAAAUGUAUGGGCUUAACCCAUGAACUGCCGUUGAAACUGUUAUUCUUGAGUGGAGUAGAGGCAGGCGGAAUUCCGAGUGUAGCGGUGAAAUGCGUAGAUAUUCGGAGGAACACCAGUGGCGAAGGCGGCCUGCUGGGCUCUAACUGGCGCUGAGGCUCGAAAGUGUGGGGAGCAAACAGGAUUAGAUACCCUGGUA
RNAcentral lists this ribosomal RNA (436 nucleotides) under uncultured Clostridium sp. Its description in RNAcentral is "partial 16S ribosomal RNA". It matches the Rfam family "Bacterial small subunit ribosomal RNA", at positions 341 to 792 of the family's 1533-position model. The record is from RNAcentral. Lineage: Bacteria; Bacillati; Bacillota; Clostridia; Eubacteriales; Clostridiaceae.